GAUGAACGCUGGCGGCGUGCCUAAUACAUGCAAGUCGAGCGAACAGACGAGGAGCUUGCUCCUCUGACGUUAGCGGCGGACGGGUGAGUAACACGUGGAUAACCUACCUAUAAGACUGGGAUAACUUCGGGAAACCGGAGCUAAUACCGGAUAAUAUAUUGAACCGCAUGGUUCAAUAGUGAAAGACGGUUUUGCUGUCACUAAUAGAUGGAUCCGCGCCGCAUUAGCUAGUUGGUAAGGUAACGGCUUACCAAGGCGACGAUGCGUAGCCGACCUGAGAGGGUGAUCGGCCACACUGGAACUGAGACACGGUCCAGACUCCUACGGGAGGCAGCAGUAGGGAAUCUUCCGCAAUGGGCGAAAGCCUGACGGAGCAACGCCGCGUGAGUGAUGAAGGUCUUCGGAUCGUAAAACUCUGUUAUUAGGGAAGAACAAAUGUGUAAGUAACUAUGCACGUCUUGACGGUACCUAAUCAGAAAGCCACGGCUAACUACGUG
RNAcentral lists this ribosomal RNA (497 nucleotides) under uncultured bacterium. RNAcentral's name for it is "partial 16S ribosomal RNA". It matches the Rfam family "Bacterial small subunit ribosomal RNA", at positions 28 to 507 of the family's 1533-position model. The record is from RNAcentral.